AAGCGCUUGCAACCAGACUUGCACGCGGUUAAUCAUCCGGUGUUCUCACCGGUGCACUUGACCGCGUUCAGGCCAGCAUUGGUUUUGGUGGUUGGAUAAAGGCCUAGGGAAUGUAGCUUCCUUCGGGGAGUGUUUAGCCCUUGGUGCAAUACAGCCUACUGGGACCGAGGACCGCGCUUUGGCUAGGAUGCUGGCGUAAUGGUUGUAAGCGA
This 212-nucleotide ribosomal RNA is filed under the name Helotiaceae sp. RNAcentral's name for it is "partial large subunit ribosomal RNA". Lineage: Eukaryota; Fungi; Ascomycota; Leotiomycetes; Helotiales; Helotiaceae. The record is from RNAcentral.